UGAGAUAGAGGUUAGUGGUAGAGCACUUGCCUAGCAUGUGCAAGGCCCUGGGUUCAAUCCCCAGUACCACAA
Molecule: transfer RNA, 72 nt
Filed under: Marmota monax (woodchuck)
Lineage: Eukaryota; Metazoa; Chordata; Mammalia; Rodentia; Sciuridae
Description: tRNA.Ala
Source: RNAcentral